Solea senegalensis (Senegalese sole) is the source of this 548-nucleotide long non-coding RNA. RefSeq lists it as uncharacterized. The record is from RefSeq and is a predicted model, not a curated record. The transcript has 3 exons. NCBI's taxonomy places the organism in Eukaryota, Metazoa, Chordata, Actinopteri, Pleuronectiformes, Soleidae.
ACAUUUUUGUGGCGAGGCUACGGAAUCAGAAGGAACGUUUGUCUGGGCAACUGUGAGAUUUACACUUUUUCAUGCAGCCAACAAAGACAUUGGGGUUAACAUCGUCCCAAAUGGCUGGCAAAGAUGCUUAUAACUGUCAGUGUAGGACAGGAAAGGCAGGUAUAGGUUAGGGAGGGCAUCCAUCAGUGAGCUCUGACUAGAUGUGAGGACCUGUCACACUUGACCAGAGAUGAACGCUGCAGCACAUUCCUGGAUCAGAGGACUCCAUGUUGGACACCACGACCUGGAGAAGUCCCGUCCUGGAUGGCUGUGGUGAUGACCUAACCCGAGAUGAACCGACCCUUCUACGACGAGGAUUUUGCCCAAGAUGAACCGGCCCUUCUACGAAGAGGACUUCGCCCAAGAUGGACCGACCUUUUCCACGGGAUGUCUUCAGAUGCUGGACCUUGCCAAACUGUACUGGUUAAAUGGACUUUAACACCCCCGUCCCCACUGACCCACAACCACACAUGACAAAACACUGUACAUGUGAUGCAUCACCCUCUCUG